UUGAAUUUUAAUGAAGAGUUUGGUUGUAGCUGGCCCAUUCAUUUGGGCAUGUGCACACCUUCCUCUUUCAUCCCACACACACCUGUGAACCUGUGAGACAGAGAUGGGGAAUUUACUUGCUGCUUUUUGGAAUACAAGGGCAAUAGGUUAUUGGACCCCCCCUCUGUCUACUCAAUUAAUAUAAACUCAAUUUAUUUUAAAACGAAUGUAAUGGAUGUAACACAUCUCAUAC
This 232-nucleotide unclassified non-coding RNA is filed under the name soil metagenome. RNAcentral's name for it is "partial internal transcribed spacer 1". The record is from RNAcentral.